Molecule: transfer RNA, 76 nt
Filed under: Deltaproteobacteria bacterium
Lineage: Bacteria; Pseudomonadati; Myxococcota; Myxococcia
Description: tRNA-Ser
Rfam family: tRNA (bases 14-66)
About the family: Transfer RNA (tRNA) molecules are approximately 80 nucleotides in length. Their secondary structure includes four short double-helical elements and three loops (D, anti-codon, and T loops).
Source: RNAcentral
AGCAAACUGGUUAGUAUUUUGAAAAAUCGGGCUCAUAACCCGAAGGUCUCAGGUUCGAAUCCUGACCCCGCUACCA